UGGAGGAUAGCCUUUCGAAAAGGAAGAUUAAUACUCCAUAAUAUAUUGAUUGGCAUCAAUUAAUAUUGAAAAGCUCCGGCGGAUAGAGAUGGGGCACGCGCAAGAUUAGUUAGUUGGUGAGGUAACGGCUCACCAAGACGAUGAUCUUUAGGGGGCCUGAGAGGGUGAUCCCCCACACUGGUACUGAGACACGGACCAGACUCCUACGGGAGGCAGCAGUGAGGAAUAUUGGACAAUGGGUGCAAGCCUGAUCCAGCCAUCCCGCGUGAAGGACGACUACCCUAUGGGUUGUAAACUUCUUUUGUAUAGGGAUAAACCUCUCCUCGUGAGGAGAGCUGAAGGUACUAUACGAAUAAGCACCGGCUAACUCCGUG
This 374-nucleotide ribosomal RNA is filed under the name uncultured bacterium. Its description in RNAcentral is "bacterial SSU rRNA". It matches the Rfam family "Bacterial small subunit ribosomal RNA", at positions 137 to 507 of the family's 1533-position model. The record is from RNAcentral.